UCGCCUACACGAAGUCGGAAUCGCUAGUAAUCGCGGAUCAGCAUGCCGCGGUGAAUACGUUCCCGGGCCUUGUACACACCGCCCGUCACACCAUGGGGAGUUUGUAACGCCCAAAGUCGGUGGCCUAACCUUUAUGGAGGGAGCCGCCUAAGGCGGGACAGAUGACUGGGGUGAAGUCGUAACAAGGUACC
RNAcentral lists this ribosomal RNA (191 nucleotides) under uncultured bacterium. RNAcentral's name for it is "partial 16S ribosomal RNA". It matches the Rfam family "Bacterial small subunit ribosomal RNA", at positions 1312 to 1500 of the family's 1533-position model. The record is from RNAcentral.